This 205-nucleotide ribosomal RNA is filed under the name uncultured bacterium. RNAcentral's name for it is "partial 16S ribosomal RNA". It matches the Rfam family "Bacterial small subunit ribosomal RNA", at positions 1294 to 1500 of the family's 1533-position model. The record is from RNAcentral.
CGGAUUGAAGGCUGAAAUUCGCCUUCAUGAAGCCGGAAUUGCUAGUAAUGGCAGGUCAGCAUACUGCCGUGAAUACGUUCCCGGGCCUUGUACACACCGCCCGUCACACCAUGAGAGUUGGGAAUACCCGAAGCCUGUGAGCUAACGUAAGAGGCAGCAGUCGAAGGUAGAAUCAAUGAUUGGGGUGAAGUCGUAACAAGGUACC